GUUCAAAAUAAAAGUUUUAAUUUAUGAAAAUAGAAGAAGUAGGAAAAGUAUUUUUAAUUCAACAUUUACAGAGUGAAUCAGGAGAAGAAGUGUUGGUAAUUUAUUUUGAAACAGAUUGUAUCACGAAAAGAAGUAAUGAGAGUAAUAAAAUUCUUUUAUUCAACAUUGGGAAUUGAAUUACGUGAAGAAAUGGUUGUAAUUAAUUUAAAACAUAUUGCAUCACGAGAAGAAUAGGAAAAAUAUUGCUAUACUCAAGUAUCAAGAUUGAAAUACUGAUGUACCGUUAAACUGAAGGUGGUAAUACAGUUUACAAAAUUUGCACUGGCUGAAUUUUUUAAUUAAAAAACAAUAUGUGUGCCAUAAAUGUAAUCUGUUUUUCAUGGGGUAUCAAUAAAAGAUUGGUGUGUUGGCCAAAUCACUUGCAAGCAUCUUGCUAUUAAACUGCCAUACGUAAAGUCACGUUUUUAAAAGUAACUGAAAGCAGCUGAAAAUAAGAAUUUUUUGAUGAACUUUCGGUUGGAGGAGAUGAGAAACAACUUACAGCGGCAAUCUUAAUACAGCUAAUGGCCAAAGAAAUAUGUUUUUCAUACUCAGUGUAUGGAAUAAAACAAAAACGACCUGCAAGGUCGUUAUAGAGUUGCGUUUAGUCGCUUAUCGUUGUAUUCGUUCAUUUCGAAUUCGUUACUGACAAAAGUAUUAAAGAAAAAAUUGGCAGCUUUCUAGCGACGGCCAUUAAUAAAGAUUACGGAAGAAAAAUAGAACCGUAACUGAGCAACGCCCAAUAUUGAGCAAUGAAAUAAGUAUCGCCAAUAUUAUGAAAGUCGAUGCCCACUAUCUUAUAGUGAGAGUAUAAUA
This is a non-coding RNA of Hydra vulgaris (swiftwater hydra), 855 nucleotides long. The record is from RefSeq and is a predicted model, not a curated record. Lineage: Eukaryota; Metazoa; Cnidaria; Hydrozoa; Anthoathecata; Hydridae.